Molecule: small RNA, 1199 nt
Filed under: Pongo abelii (Sumatran orangutan)
Lineage: Eukaryota; Metazoa; Chordata; Mammalia; Primates; Hominidae
Description: retained intron
Source: RNAcentral
UAACCACUCUGGGCUUGCAACUUUCUUGUUGAUUUUUGCAACAUUCUUCUCCCUUGAUUUUUUUAUUUUCUCUGACUGGUCUUUCUUAAACCUGUCUUUGAGUGUAUACUCUUACAUUUGACGUUCCUCUGGAUUAUCUCUUCACCCCCCUUCUUUCUCAUGAUGCUCUUGCACAUUAUUUUUAAAAAUAUUACCCACUCUUGAUAGUGUAUCUGCACUGAGACACAUACUGGAAGCUAUAUAUUGCUUGACAUCUCAAUCUAAAACAACUCAUCUUUCUUACUUAUGAUUAGAGUUCCUCCUCUUCAUUUAUAUUCUUUUCUUGGUGAACAUCAGUGUCUACCAAUUUCUAAAUGCAAAGGAGAAAGAUACAAUUUUAAGCGAAAUGGUGGUGAUAUGCACAACUUUCAGAAGGAUACAUAAAACUUGGGUUUUCAGAGACAAUUUUUUCUUUUCUUUCUAGGAUAUGUUCAGGGAAUGAGUGAUUUACUUUCCCCUCUUUUAUAUGUGAUGGAAAAUGAAGUGGAUGCCUUUUGGUGCUUUGCCUCUUACAUGGACCAAAUGCAUCAGAAUUUUGAAGAACAAAUGCAAGGCAUGAAGACCCAGCUAAUUCAGCUGAGUACCUUACUUCGAUUGUUAGACAGUGGAUUUUGCAGUUACUUAGAAUCUCAGGACUCUGGAUACCUUUAUUUUUGCUUCAGAUGGCUUUUAAUCAGAUUCAAAAGGGAAUUUAGUUUUCUAGAUAUUCUUCGAUUAUGGGAGGUAAUGUGGACCGAACUACCAUGUAAAAAUUUCCAUCUUCUUCUCUGUUGUGCUAUUCUGGAAUCAGAAAAGCAGCAAAUAAUGGAAAAGCAUUAUGGCUUCAAUGAAAUACUUAAGCAUAUUAAUGAAUUGUCCAUGAAAAUUGAUGUGGAAGAUAUACUAUGCAAGGCAGAAGCAAUUUCUCUACAGAUGGUAAAAUGCAAGGAAUUGCCACAAGCAGUCUGUGAGAUCCUUGGGCUUCAAGACAGUGAAGUUACAACACCAGAUUCAGACGUUGGUGAAGACGAAAAUGUUGUCAUGACUCCUUGUCCUACAUCUGCAUUUCGAAGUAAUGCCUUGCCUACACUCUCCGCCAGUGGAGCCAGAGAUGACAGCCCAACACAGAUACCGGUGUCCUCAGAUGUCUGCAGAUUAACACCUGCAUGAUCACUCUUCUU